RNAcentral lists this ribosomal RNA (409 nucleotides) under uncultured microorganism. RNAcentral describes it as "bacterial SSU rRNA". It matches the Rfam family "Archaeal small subunit ribosomal RNA", at positions 330 to 745 of the family's 1478-position model. The record is from RNAcentral.
GCGCACCAGGCGAGAAAACUUUACAAUGUGCGAAAGCACGAUAAGGGAACUCUGAGUGCCUCCUAAGGAGGCUGUUCUGAUGUCUAAAAAGCAACAGAAGUAAGGGCUGGGUAAGACCGGUGCCAGCCGCCGCGGUAACACCGGCAGCCCAAGUGGUAGCCACGUUUAUUGGGUCUAAAGCGUUCGUAGCCGGCCAGGUAAGUUCCUUGGUAAAUUUAGCCGCUUAACGGUUAAGCUUUCGGGGAAUACUGCUUGGCUUGGGACUGGGAGAGGUCAGAGGUACUCCGGGGGUAGGGUGAAAUCUAUUAAUCCCUGGGGGACCACCGGUAGCGAAGGCGUCUGACCAGACCAGGUCCGACGGUGAGGGACGAAGGCUAGGGGCGCGAACCGGAUUAGAUACCCCCGUAGU